Long non-coding RNA from Hordeum vulgare subsp. vulgare (domesticated barley), 1207 nucleotides. RefSeq lists it as uncharacterized. The transcript has 4 exons. Lineage: Eukaryota; Viridiplantae; Streptophyta; Magnoliopsida; Poales; Poaceae. The record is from RefSeq and is a predicted model, not a curated record.
UGAAGCUUUUUAUCGCCUUUCCUCCAUCUUCUUCCUCUCGUCACGUUGAUCUACUCGACUCUUCGUCAGAUCCAGGACGUGAGAAGCCAUCCAGCCGCGUCGUCGUCGUCGGAGCUCAUCUACGUCGUCUACGGUCUUCACCGGGGACGUGCCACUCUGAGUCGCUCUUCUUCCUGUAUAUGGAUCCAUCUCAUCCGGUCUUGGAUAAGCUCGAGGAUCCAACCCCUUAGUUUAAGGGGCAAAUUGAUGUGAAAUCAUACGACCGAGUCGAUGGAUGCUCAAUGCUUUAGCGAGAAGGAUUUGUCUGAAAAUGAAAUCAAUCAUGCCACCAAAAAAUGUUUGCCAACUUGAAAGAGAUAUGUAGCGGUUAGCUCCAUUCUAAGGGACCAACCCGGUUCCACCUGAAAAUUCUGAUUGGUGGAAAUCCAUGGCAAUAAAGUCAUAGAAUCGGAGGAAGAACUUUGACUCGCUUGGCCGUCUCUUUAUUGAACUUGCUAAUGAUUCUUCUCCCGAGGACAAUCUGAAACUACUCAAGCCGGCGAUGUUGAGGUAAUUUCGAUCUCCUCCAACUCUUCAGGAACAAAUGUUAUGAAGAGGAUAACAUGAGCCGUCAAAAAGAUAAGUUUUCACACUGAGAUGCUUACUUAGAUCCAAACUUUCUUUUGAAACAAAAUCAACACGUUGCUCAGUCAAAGCUCAAGACCAGGAGUAGCUCUAGGGAACUGUACACUGGCUUACCUCUCGAGCUGGUCACGUGCAGGCAACGCUUUGAGGUGCCGCAUAGUCCAACUGUUUCUCAUCCCCAAGUUGGCCUUUUUAAACAACCUCUUAGUCCUUCUAAUUCACUUUAUCAAGAGUCACCGCCCUCCUCUAGUGACUCAACAACAAUACAACUUCUGGAUUUUACUAUCAAUCAUGGAGCCGUGGAUUUCGCCAGAAAAAAAGUGAGUGUGUCCUCUUCCGCUGUUGCGGAUUGCAACAUUCAAAAUCAGCCGGCAGAUAAAGCGGCGAAUCAUGUUGAGCUGUCGGGCCAAAAUAACCCAAAAUUAGGUACUGAGCCAGCUCAUGAUGUGGAGAUUACCCUGUUAGGUUGAUCUCUUUCCCAAUGGGCCCAACGACCCAUUGGACCUUGAUUCACGCCUUGAUCGGGGGCGUCCAGCGCAAGCAAGGCUGGUGGGCCCCUGUCGCGCAGUGCUAUAUGUAGAGG